CGGGGGGGUUAUGCUGACGCUAGCGGGAGGCCUAACACAUGCAAGCCGAGCGGUAGAGUAUCUUCGGAUACUUGAGAGCGGCGUACGGGUGCGGAACACGUGUGCAACCUGCCUUUAUCUGAGGGAUAGCCUUUCGAAAGGAAGAUUAAUACCUCAUAAUAUACUGAUUGGCAUCAAUUGGUAUUGAAAGCUCCGGCGGAUAGAGAUGGGCACGCGCAAGAUUAGAUAGUUGGUGAGGUAACGGCUCACCAAGUCAAUGAUCUUUAGGGGGCCUGAGAGGGUGAUCCCCCACACUGGUACUGAGACACGGACCAGACUCCUACGGGAGGCAGCAGUGAGGAAUAUUGGACAAUGGGUGCAAGCCUGAUCCAGCCAUCCUGCGUGAAGGACGACGGCCCUAUGGGUUGUAAACUUCUUUUGUACAGGGAUAAACCUACCCUCGUGAGGGUAGCUGAAGGUACUGUACGAAUAAGCACCGGCUAACUCCGUGCCAGCCGCCGCGGUAAUUA
Molecule: ribosomal RNA, 509 nt
Filed under: Riemerella anatipestifer
Lineage: Bacteria; Pseudomonadati; Bacteroidota; Flavobacteriia; Flavobacteriales; Weeksellaceae
Description: bacterial SSU rRNA
Rfam family: Bacterial small subunit ribosomal RNA
Source: RNAcentral